RNAcentral lists this transfer RNA (85 nucleotides) under Bacteroides fragilis. RNAcentral describes it as "tRNA-Ser". It matches the Rfam family "tRNA". Rfam says of the family: Transfer RNA (tRNA) molecules are approximately 80 nucleotides in length. Their secondary structure includes four short double-helical elements and three loops (D, anti-codon, and T loops). The record is from RNAcentral. Lineage: Bacteria; Pseudomonadati; Bacteroidota; Bacteroidia; Bacteroidales; Bacteroidaceae.
GGAGAGGUGGCAGAGUGGUCGAUUGCGGCGGUCUUGAAAACCGGUGUACUGCGGGGGACCCGGGGUUCGAAUCCCUGUCUCUCCG